Molecule: ribosomal RNA, 497 nt
Filed under: uncultured bacterium
Lineage: Bacteria
Description: partial 16S ribosomal RNA
Rfam family: Bacterial small subunit ribosomal RNA
Source: RNAcentral
GAUGAACGCUGGCGGCGUGCCUAAUACAUGCAAGUCGAGCGAACGGACGAGAAGCUUGCUUCUCUGAUGUUAGCGGCGGACGGGUGAGUAACACGUGGAUAACCUACCUAUAAGACUGGGAUAACUUCGGGAAACCGGAGCUAAUACCGGAUAAUAUUUUGAAUCGCAUGGUUCAAAAGUGAAAGACGGUCUUGCUGUCACUUAUAGAUGGAUCCGCGCUGCAUUAGCUAGUUGGUAAGGUAACGGCUUACCAAGGCAACGAUGCAUAGCCGACCUGAGAGAGGGAUCGGCCACACUGGAACUGAGACACGGUCCAGACUCCUACGGGAGGCAGCAGUAGGGAAUCUUCCGCAAUGGGCGAAAGCCUGACGGAGCAACGCCGCGUGAGUGAUGAAGGUCUUCGGAUCGUAAAACUCUGUUAUUAGGGAAGAACAUAUGUGUAAGUAACUGUGCACAUCUUGACGGUACCUAAUCAGAAAGCCACGGCUAACUACGUG